GGGCGUUGAAAUUGGGCGAAGGAAGUGAAAAAGAAGUUGCGGCAGCAGCUCUCUCCUGAAGAUGUGGCUUCUUCUGUAUAUUCUGAUCAUUGGCGUUGGGAUGAAAGUCGGAUUCUGCAUUCAUCGGAAGCGUAGAAUCGUUCUUAGGCUUCUGAUUUUCAACAUCCUUAGGGUCAUUAGAAUCGGAGGAAAGCAUGGUAUUUUCCAGAGUUUGACUUGGAGAGCCGAUUUUAGGUCCAACAUUCUCAGCAACCGCCAUGAUGAGAGACAAGUUUAUGCAAGAAGAUCGUUGUUUUUGCAAUCUUAUUCUGAAGAGGGUGGGAAGGGCAUAUCAAUACAUUUCCAUUGGUAAACGAGGAAACCCAGCAAGAGAUCGUGGAGUGGAAGAAGUAAGAGAGCAGAAACGAAAUUGAAGAGGAUCGAAAUGAAAACGAGAAACCCUGUUGGUUUGGCCGGCGUUGAGAUCGUCGGAUUGCGGUGGAGUGGCUUUGGCUUUGGGUUUCACAGCAUCCCAG
Molecule: unclassified non-coding RNA, 515 nt
Filed under: Hevea brasiliensis (rubber tree)
Lineage: Eukaryota; Viridiplantae; Streptophyta; Magnoliopsida; Malpighiales; Euphorbiaceae
Source: RNAcentral